Molecule: small RNA, 137 nt
Filed under: Paenibacillus sp.
Lineage: Bacteria; Bacillati; Bacillota; Bacilli; Caryophanales; Paenibacillaceae
Description: c-di-AMP sequence
Rfam family: c-di-AMP riboswitch aptamer (ydaO/yuaA leader)
About the family: This family represents a conserved RNA structure found upstream of the ydaO and yuaA genes in Bacillus subtilis and related genes in other bacteria. The ydaO/yuaA element is thought to act as a genetic "off" switch for the ydaO and yuaA genes in its native state.
Source: RNAcentral
ACAAAAUUCAGGCCGAAGCUUCUAAUAGAGGCAUGGGGGAACCUAUUAUUUGGGGUGAAGCCAUAUUCAUGGCAGGGUCCUUACUCUUUGAUCCGAACCCGUCAGCUAACCUCAUAGGCCGCAAAAAGAGAGGAUGU